RNAcentral lists this ribosomal RNA (501 nucleotides) under uncultured bacterium. Its description in RNAcentral is "bacterial SSU rRNA". It matches the Rfam family "Bacterial small subunit ribosomal RNA", at positions 29 to 521 of the family's 1533-position model. The record is from RNAcentral.
AGUGAACGCUGGCGGCAGGCCUAAUACAUGCAAGUCGAACGGCAGCACAGCAGAGCUUGCUCUGUGGGUGGCGAGUGGCGGACGGGUGAGGAAUACGUGGGAAUCUGCCCAGUCGUGGGGGAUAACGUAGGGAAACUUACGCUAAUACCGCAUGCGCCCUUGGGGAAAGCCGGGGACCUUCGGGCCUGGCGCGAUUGGAUGAGCCCACGUCGGAUUAGCUAGUUGGCGGGGUAAAGGCCCACCAAGGCGACGAUCCGUAGCUGGUCUGAGAGGAUGAUCAGCCACACUGGAACUGAGACACGGUCCAGACUCCUACGGGAGGCAGCAGUAGGGAAUAUUGGACAAUGGGCGCAAGCCUGAUCCAGCCAUGCCGCGUGAGUGAAGAAGGCCCUCGGGUUGUAAAGCUCUUUUGUCCGGAAAGAAAGCGCCGGGUUAAUACCCUGGUGUCCUGACGGUACCGGAAGAAUAAGCACCGGCUAACUUCGUGCCAGCAGCCGCGGU